RNAcentral lists this unclassified non-coding RNA (219 nucleotides) under Hevea brasiliensis (rubber tree). Lineage: Eukaryota; Viridiplantae; Streptophyta; Magnoliopsida; Malpighiales; Euphorbiaceae. The record is from RNAcentral.
UUACUUUUACAAAGAGAGCUUUAAAAAUUACAACAUAUAGCGCUAGACACGGUUUAAUAGCAAAUACACUAUGGACUUAUAUUAUCAUUUUUUUAAUAAUAGCAAAUAAUUAAACUGCAAAUCCAUCUUCUUCUUUUGAUUACUUUCUCCUGUAAUCCCACUUCUCUCUAAUUUUUUUUGGCAUUACUGCUAAUCGCCGCUGAGAGGGGAUUGGAUCUG